RNAcentral lists this ribosomal RNA (595 nucleotides) under Lactobacillus sp. AF20(2010). Its description in RNAcentral is "bacterial SSU rRNA". It matches the Rfam family "Bacterial small subunit ribosomal RNA", at positions 49 to 603 of the family's 1533-position model. Lineage: Bacteria; Bacillati; Bacillota; Bacilli; Lactobacillales; Lactobacillaceae. The record is from RNAcentral.
CUAUACAUGCAAGUCGAACGCACUCUCGUUUAGAUUGAAGGAGCUUGCUCCUGAUUGAUAAACAUUUGAGUGAGUGGCGGACGGGUGAGUAACACGUGGGUAACCUGCCCUAAAGUGGGGGAUAACAUUUGGAAACAGAUGCUAAUACCGCAUAAAACCUAACACCGCAUGGUGUAGGGUUGAAAGAUGGUUUCGGCUAUCACUUUAGGAUGGACCCGCGGUGCAUUAGUUAGUUGGUGAGGUAAAGGCUCACCAAGACCGUGAUGCAUAGCCGACCUGAGAGGGUAAUCGGCCACACUGGGACUGAGACACGGCCCAGACUCCUACGGGAGGCAGCAGUAGGGAAUCUUCCACAAUGGACGAAAGUCUGAUGGAGCAACGCCGCGUGAGUGAAGAAGGUUUUCGGAUCGUAAAACUCUGUUGUUGGAGAAGAAUGUAUCUGAUAGUAACUGAUCAGGUAGUGACGGUAUCCAACCAGAAAGCCACGGCUAACUACGUGCCAGCAGCCGCGGUAAUACGUAGGUGGCAAGCGUUGUCCGGAUUUAUUGGGCGUAAAGCGAGCGCAGGCGGUUUCUUAAGUCUGAUGUGAAAGCCU